UAUAUUUAGGGAUAAACACAAAGCUAAAUUCUUUAAAUGUCAAGAUUUUGUCUCUGCUGUGGAAGAUGAGUUUAUUUUAACCUUUCAGUAAACCCUUUGUAUUGUCUUCACGUUUUACAUAAUAUACCUCCAAUAGUAAAGGUUUAAAGCCAGUUUCCGUUUACUACAAUCCUUACUAUAAUAUUAAUAACAGAAUGUUAUUAUAUAUUAUAUUACUAUACAGUUAAUGACAGUAUAUUAAUGUGCAUUAUAUUACAAUACCAUUAAUGACAGUACACACUUUUGUUGGAUUAUAUUACAGAGACAGAGGGUCAUAAUCCCACUCACACUAACUAUAUUUCACCAUAAUCCCACUAAUACUAUCUAUAUCAUUUUCAUAAUCCCACUAACACUAUCCAUAUCUCACCAUAAUCCCACUAACACUAUCUAUAUCAUUUUCAUAAUCCCACUAACACUAUCUAUAUGAUUUUCAUAAUCCCACUUGCGCUAUCCAUAUCUCAUCAUAAUCCCACUAACACCAUCUAUUUCUCUCCAUAAUCCCACUCACACUAUACAUAUCUCACCGUAAUCCCACUCACACUAUCCAUAUAAUUUUCUUCAUAAUCCCACUCACACUAUACAUAUCUCACCAUAGUCCCACUCAUACUAUCUAUAUAAUUUUCUUCAUAUUCCCACUAACACUACCUAUAUCUCACCAUAUUCCCACUAACAGGCUGUAUCUGUAUCUCAACCCUGUAUCUGUAUCUCAAGCAAUCUUUACUAUCCCUGUAUCUGAUUCUAUUUUUACUUUCCCUGUAUCUCAAACUAACUUUACUAACCCGAUAUCUGUAUCUUACUCUAACGUUACUAACCCUGUAUCUGUAUUUCAACCUAACUUUACUAUCCCUGUAUCUCAAACUAAUGUUACUAACUCUGUAUCUAUAUAUCAACAUAUCUUUAUUAACCCUGUAUCUGUAUCUCAGCCUAAUUUUACUAACCCUGUAUCUGUAUUUUAACCUAACUUUACUAUCCCUUUAUCUUACUCUAACUUUACUAACCCUGUACCUCAUCCUAACUUUACUAUCCCUGUGUCUCAAACUAACUUUACUAUCCCUGUAUCUCAAACUAACUUUACUAACUCUUUAUCUAUAUAUCAUCUUAACUUUACUUUCUCUGUAUCUCAAACUAACUUUCCUAACCCUGUAUCUGUAUCUCAACCUAACUUUACUAUCCCUGUAUCUCAAACUAACUUUACUAACUCUUUAUCUAUAUAUCAUCUUAACUAUACUUUCUCUGUAUUUCAAACUAACUUUACUAACCCUGUAUCUGUAUCUCAACCUGACUUUACUAACCCUGGAUCUUAAACUAACUUUACUAACCAUGUGUCUAUAUAUCACCCUAACUUUACUAACCAUGUGUCUAUAUAUCACCCUAACUUUACUAACCAUGUGUCUAUAUAUCACCCUAACUUUACUAACCAUGUAUCUAUAUAUCACCCUAACUUUACUAUCCCUGUAUCUAUAUCUCAUCCUAACUUUACUAACCCUACAUCUGUAUCUCAACCUAACUCUACUAACCCUCUAUCUGUAUCUAAACUUAACUCUACUAACCCUCUAUCUGUAUCUAAACCUAACUUUACUAACCCUGUGUGUGUAACACAACCUAACUCUACUAACCCUCUAUCUGUAUCUAAACCUAACUUUACUAACCCUGUAUGUGUAACACAACCUAACUUUCCUAACCUUGUAUUUGUAUCUCAACUUAACUUUACUAACCUUGUAUCUGUAUCUCACCCUAACUUUACUAAUCCUGUAUCUCACUCUAACUUUACUAACCUUGUAUCUUUAACUCAAGCUAACUUUACUAACCUUGUAUCUGUAUCUCACCCCAACUUUACUAAUCCUGUAUCUCACUCUAACUUUACUAACCUUGUAUCUGUAACUCAAGCUAACUUUACUAACCUUGUAUCUGUAUCUCACCCUAACUUUACUAUUCCUGUAGCUGUAUCUUAAUCUAACAUUAAUAACUCUAUAUCUCAUACUAAUAUAAUAAAGUAUCUGUACAUCACCAUAAUUGUAUUAACUCUGCAGCUCACGCAAUAACAUAGUAUCUGUAUCUCAGCCUAAUCUAACACGGUAUCUGGACAUAUCACACUAAUUUUACUAACCCAAUAUCUAAAACUGUUCUUACAGUAACUGUAUCUCAGCCUAAUUUAAUACAGUAACUAUACAGCAGCCUUAUCUAGCACAGUAUCUAUAACUCGCCCUAAUUUUACUAAUCCAGUAUUUCACCUUAAUCUAACACUGCAUCUGUACCUUGUCCUAAUUUUACCAACCCCAUAUCUCAACUCAAUCUAACACAGUAUCGAUACCUCACCCUAAUUAUACUAACACUAUAUCUCAACUUACUCUAGCACAGUGUCAAUACCUCAUCCUAAUUAUACCAACACCAUAUCUCAGCCCAAUCUAGCACAGUAUUGAUACCUCAUGCUAAUUAUACUAACACCAUAUCUCAGCCCAAUCUAGCACAGUAUUGAUACCUCAUGCUAAUUAUACUAACACCAUAUCUCAGCCCAAUAUAGCACAGUAUUGAUACCUCAUGCUAAUUAUACUAAUACCAUAUCUCAACUUAACCUAACACAGUAUCGAUACCUCAUCCUAAUUAUACUAAUACCACAUCUCAACUCAAUCUAGCACAGUAUCGAUACCUCAGCCUAAUUAUACUAACACCAUAUCUCAACCCAAUCUAUCACAGUAUCGAUACCUCACCCUAAUUAUACUAACACCAUAUGUCAACUCAGUCUAGCACAAUAUCGAUACCUCAUCCUAAUUAUACCAAUACCAUAUUUCAACUUAAAGGGACAGUAUAGUCACCAGAACAACUACAGCUUAAUGUAGUUGUUCUGUUGAGUAUAAUAGUUCCCUUAAGGCUUUCUUCAUGUAAACCCAGCCUUUUACAUUGCCUCUAGGGACACCUCCAAGUGGCCACUCCUUAGAUGGCCACUGGACGUGCUUCCUGGGUCAGUGCUGCCGAAAAAGCAGCACUGACAUUCAACGUCCCCAUGCUAUGCGGAGGUCCUGAUUGUCCAAAACGGCAUUUGGCCCUGCCCCGUGCCGGUUUUAGCAAAUCAAAUGCUUUCCUCAUGGGAAAGCAUUAAAUUGGCUAAAAAUCAGCCACUCUGAUUAUGUUACAAAGGGGGCAGAGCCCGUGCUGGCAGCUGGAAAUAAGGUGAGUUUUAAACUUUUAUAGGGGGACUAAGUGGGGGGGCAAGCAACCUAAAUGGUGGGUUAAACACUAUAGGGUCAGGAAUCCAAUGCUUUCUCAUAAUUAUACUAACACCGUAUCUCAACCCAAUCUAGCACAAUAUUGAUACCUCACCCUAAUUAUACUAACACCAUAUCUCAACCCAAUCUGGCACAGUAUCGAUACCUCAUCCUAAUUAUACUAACACCAUAUCUCAACCCAAUCUAGCACAGUAUCGAUACCUCAUCCUAAUUAUACUAACACCAUAUCUCAACCCAAUCUAGCACAGUAUCGACACCUCAUCCUAAUUAUACUAACACCAUAUCUCAACCCAAUCUAGCACAGUAUCGAUACCUCAUCCUAAUUAUACUAACACCAUAUCUCAACCCAAUCUAGCACAGUAUCGAUACCUCAUCCUAAUUAUACUAACACCAUAUCUCAACCCAAUCUAGCACAGUAUCGAUACCUUAUCCUAAUUAUACUAACACCAUAUCUCAACUCAGUCUAGCACAGUAUCGAUACCUUAUCCUAAUUAUACUAACACCAUAUCUCAACUCAGUCUAGCACAGUAUCGAUACCUCAUCCUAAUUAUACUAACACCAUAUCUCAACCCAAUCUAGCACAGUAUCGAUACCUCAUCCUAAUUAUAUUAACUCUGUAUCCCCCGUAACACAUUAUCUGUAUCUCACGUUGAUUAUAUUUACCCUGUAUCUCACCCAAAUAUAACACAGUAACCGUAUCGCAUCCCAAUCCCCCUGGCUGACAUCACGGGGGCCAAGCCAAGGUCCAAUCAAAGGCUUAUUAUAGAGAAGCUUUUGAUUGAAUGAUUUAAUGGGCUCAGAGCACAUCCUUGCACUCUGGAUCCACAAGAUGAAGAAUAAAAGAGGAGGAGGGAAGGCAGGAAGGGCUACAAUCAGUGUGGGAGGGAAGGCAAACAAGAGCUUCCCCUUGCAGACCCUGCUUUUAAGGGAGAAGCAGUUACGUCUGUCGGCAGCGUGCAGUGAUCGCUGACGACAGAUGUGUUUAGUGCAUAGAAUUAACAUUAGGUUCCUAAUAAAGGAUGGAACUUGAAACAGUAUCCUGCACAUCCUGGUUCCUACCGCCAUGACCACUUCAAAAAGCUAACGUGGUGGUUGGGGUAUCCCUUUAAGUCCUAAAAUUACAGCUCAGGCAGGGGUUGGAAUCAGGCAAUAGGUGGAGAAGACUGCUUGAAGUAUUGAUAUAAUUUUCCAGUUGCCUGCAGUUCCUGUCAGGGUAAUUUGCCAAGUGAGCUCUCUUGGAAAUAUGACUUCAUACAAAAAAAAUGUUUUCACCCAUUUUCACUUUACUUGCAGCACAGGUAAAUAACUCAAUGGGCAAGUUGGAGUGUUGAGAUCCUGAGUACGGGUUUUACAAGCUUGCUAGUCCUCUAGUCUACCAAAAACUAUUAAAACAGGCUGACUACAAUUUAAAUAUUUAUAUUAUAAGCUGCCCUAACACACAUUGUCUUAUUAAUGCACAUGCAGAAAGUAAUAGUUAACAGUGACAUAUUAAUGCAUACCUACAAAUUCUGCCUUUAUCAACUAAUGUGCAGAAUCCUGACAAUAUAUAAUUUAAUCAACAACAUUCUUAAUGGGUUAUGAGAAACAUGCAGGCUUACAUUCUAAUGUAUUGUCAUCAUAACGACAGCUGGCAAACUGACCACAAGAUACUUUGUAACAACUUAUUUAUUCUGCAAAAGUAUAUUUAGCACACCAACAGUUUUAUGAAUUCUACAACGUCAUGAUUUUGCCGCAAGAGAACUUCAUCCGUGUUCUCAUCUAGAUUAAAAAAAAUUCUGGUCAGAGUGACAAAACGUCUGAAAACCAAAUUAUAACCCUGUACCUAUAGAGGGCAAAUAUACUUCUCUUUUUUUUUUUUUUUCCUCUCUCUCUUUGUGUGUGUUGGAAUUUUACAUGCAUUUUAAUAAAAGCAAAAAUGUGUGCUUGCGUAAAACAGUGUAAAAUUGUGGGCUUCUUGAUUUAUUUUAAAAAAAAAAUUCUGGGAGGAGGGAGAAAUGUAGAUAAAACAAAUUAACCAUUAUUGUGCUGGGAGCCGCUUCAACUGGUGCAAUUUUAUUUCUCUUCCAUAAUCAGGGACACUGACCUUAUAAGCUAAGAGUGUUAUUGUAAAACAUGCACACAACCUACUCUGUAAUGAACCUUGCACUGUAAUGGUUAGUAUUAUAAAUUAAUAAAAUGUCAAGACUCAUUUUUGAAUUUUUGAUUAUAUCUGGAAAUUAAGCUUUUUG
RNAcentral lists this long non-coding RNA (5491 nucleotides) under Pelobates cultripes (western spadefoot toad). Lineage: Eukaryota; Metazoa; Chordata; Amphibia; Anura; Pelobatidae. The record is from RNAcentral.